UACGGAGGGUGCAAGCGUUAAUCGGAAUUACUGGGCGUAAAGCGUGCGUAGGCGGUUUAUUAAGUCAGAUGUGAAAGCCCCGGGCUUAACCUGGGAACUGCAUUUGAAACUGGUAAACUAGAGUAUGGUAGAGGAAAGUGGAAUUUCUGGUGUAGCGGUGAAAUGCGUAGAUAUUACUUAGAAUACCGAUUGCGAAGGCAGCUUACUGGACAACAACUGACGCUGAGGUACGAAAGCGUGGGUAGCAAACAGG
RNAcentral lists this ribosomal RNA (253 nucleotides) under uncultured bacterium. RNAcentral's name for it is "partial 16S ribosomal RNA". It matches the Rfam family "Bacterial small subunit ribosomal RNA", at positions 524 to 776 of the family's 1533-position model. The record is from RNAcentral.